AAAUAACAGGGAUGAUUCAUUUGGCAUAAGACCAUCUCUUGAUCACUAUUCCUUACACAGUACAUAUCACUCUGGAUGACAUGAAUUAUCAGAUUCCUAUGGAAAUUAUCAGAUUCCCUAAAAUUUCUCCCCACCCCCCGCAUGUUAACCAACAAUCAGGAGCCUUUCCUGAAAGUAUCAGUAUGAAAUCAAGUGAACAAGAGAUGCCUGAAGGAAUGUAGUCAUCUACUGAAACUAAGAUGUAAAAUUCUUGAAAAAAACAUUCAACAGAGUUAACCACCAAAUCAUCUGCCAUUUGCCAAGCUAUUACGGUUUCCCUUCUUCUCUGAUGAAGAAGAGCAUUCACCUUGCCACCCAAGCCAGAGACCAUAGUCCUUGACUUCUGUCCUGAAAUGUGCUCAUCCAAUCAGUCCCCAAGCCUGCCUCCCCAGUAUACAGGCAGACCUCUCACCACCUUACCAUCAUGUCAACAGAGGCCACUGCCAUCCCUUGCCUCAUCAACUACUGGCCUCGGAACUGGUCCCAUCCUCACUAUCAUCUUCAUAAUACAUGAAUUUAGCCUCUACAUCAUCUUAGGAUCAGGCCCCCAACAGCCUAGCAUGUAUAACAAGGCCCCACACAGCUGGUUCCCCAGUGCUGUCUCUCAGAUUGCGUUCUAGCUACAUGGAGAACAUUCCAGCUCUUCAAAAUCUCCAAUAUCUUCUUGCCUUUGGAUCUCUACACAUACCUGAGACACUCUCUUCCCACAGUCCUGGGCUCACAGCCACUCCUGGGUUAGGUCUCAGCUUAGACACCACUGUGGACUUCCCUAUCACGUCACCCACCACCCUUCAUUGUAACUCUAUUUUAAUGUCUGCCUUCCUCUUUCCACUGCACAUUGCACGAGCGCAGUGAGCACACGUGUCUCACUCAUCACUGCAUUUCCAAGAAGUGGCAUCAUUCUUGGCACAGUGGUUGAUACUCAACAACCACUUACUGAACGAGAAAUACAGCUAUUCAGCCACCAAAAGAAAAUGAGGUAUCUGUAGGUCCUUAAAGCAAAACUGUCUGAAACAGCAAAAAUACCAAUUUCACUGAGUAUAGUAAACAUUAUUUUGUUUUGCAACUACCUAAAGAAUGCUGUGCAAAUGGCCAUGAGACUCUACCAGUUUUCAGCAUCAAGCCAAGACACACUUUGUUCUGAGAUAACUGAAUGGUUUCCUGUCUCACAAAUAAACUGUCACCCAACAGUUACCUUGCUUACUUCCUUCAAGGCUCUUUUGCAGACUUCAUACUUCGGAGAGUCCUUAGGUGUUUUUUGACAGAUAGUCUGUAAUGAAAUAAAGGUGAACAAAAUUUAUUGAUUUAUUUUAUUCAGUAAAAUAAAACCA
Molecule: non-coding RNA, 1370 nt
Organism: Macaca mulatta (Rhesus monkey)
Lineage: Eukaryota; Metazoa; Chordata; Mammalia; Primates; Cercopithecidae
Source: RefSeq, a predicted model, not a curated record